RNAcentral lists this ribosomal RNA (497 nucleotides) under uncultured bacterium. RNAcentral describes it as "partial 16S ribosomal RNA". It matches the Rfam family "Bacterial small subunit ribosomal RNA", at positions 28 to 507 of the family's 1533-position model. The record is from RNAcentral.
GAUGAACGCUGGCGGCGUGCCUAAUACAUGCAAGUCGAGCGAACGGACGAGAAGCUUGCUUCUCUGAUGUUAGCGGCGGACGGGUGAGUAACACGUGGAUAACGUACCUAUAAGACUGGGAUAACUUCGGGAAACCGGAGCUAAUACCGGAUAAUAUUUUGAACCGCAUGGUUCAAAAGUGAAAGACGGUCUUGCUGUCACUUAUAGAUGGAUCCGCGCUGCAUUAGCUAGUUGGUAAGGUAACGGCUUACCAAGGCAACGAUGCAUAGCCGACCUGAGAGGGUGAUCGGCCACACUGGAACUGAGACACGGUCCAGACUCCUACGGGAGGCAGCAGUAGGGAAUCUUCCGCAAUGGGCGAAAGCCUGACGGAGCAACGCCGCGUGAGUGAUGAAGGUCUUCGGAUCGUAAAACUCUGUUAUUAGGGAAGAACAGAUGUGUAAGUAACUGUGCACAUCUUGACGGUACCUAAUCAGAAAGCCACGGCUAACUACGUG